RNAcentral lists this ribosomal RNA (225 nucleotides) under uncultured Pseudomonadales bacterium. RNAcentral describes it as "partial 16S ribosomal RNA". It matches the Rfam family "Bacterial small subunit ribosomal RNA", at positions 105 to 334 of the family's 1533-position model. The record is from RNAcentral. Lineage: Bacteria; Pseudomonadati; Pseudomonadota; Gammaproteobacteria; Pseudomonadales.
GGUGAGUAAUGCCUAGGAAUCUGCCUGGUAGUGGGGGACAACGUUUCGAAAGGAACGCUAAUACCGCAUACGUCCUACGGGAGAAAGCAGGGACCUUCGGGCCUUGCGCCAUCAGAUGAGCCUAGGUCGGAUUAGCUAGUUGGUGAGGUAAUGGCUCACCAAGGCGACGAUCCGUAACUGGUCUGAGAGGAUGAUCAGUCACACUGGAACUGAGACACGGUCCAG